This is a non-coding RNA of Pelobates cultripes (western spadefoot toad), 257 nucleotides long. NCBI's taxonomy places the organism in Eukaryota, Metazoa, Chordata, Amphibia, Anura, Pelobatidae. The record is from the annotation of a GenBank genome assembly.
CUCUAUGAGGAAAAUUCAGUGUCUGCAUGCAGAGGGAGGAGACACUGAAUGUUUGGAUGCAUUGUAGGCAGCCAUGACCCAGGAAGGAUCUCUAACAGCCAUCUAAGGAGUGGCCAGUGAAGUUAUCACUAGGCUGUAAUGUAAAGACUGCAUUUUCUCUGAAAAGACAGUGUUUACAGCAAAAAGCCUGACGGUAAUGAUUCUACUCACCAGAACAAAUUCAAUAAGCUGUAGUUGUUCUGGUGACUCUAGUGUCC